RNAcentral lists this long non-coding RNA (1101 nucleotides) under Olea europaea subsp. europaea. Lineage: Eukaryota; Viridiplantae; Streptophyta; Magnoliopsida; Lamiales; Oleaceae. The record is from RNAcentral.
AGAAGAUAAUGACUGAUAAGUGCAAUUUGUGUAUUUAUUUAUAUUACAUUAUUGAACUUUUAAGUCGUCAAACUAUUAAUUUCUAUUUAAUUUAGGUUGGGUUUCUUUUGCUUUUAGUGAGGGACUCAUUGGAAACAAUUGAACAGAAAGAACGACGAAAAUUUAAUAAAAAUGCAAUUAUGGGAUCAAAUUACACUUGUAAGAAAUUGAAGGACUAAGUUGCAUUACUUAUAAGAGAGUGAGCCCCUGAAAGAUAAAUUGCUACUAAUUGGACUUUUACUUGUCACCAAAGUAAAUAAUUAGUGGACAUUGAAUUGGGCUAAAACUAAAAUGGCCUACUCUGAUAUAUAUUACAUGCGCCAAUUUGAGGGGAGGGAGGGAGAAAAAAAAAACAUUGAAGCCCCUUUUAGUGGAGUUAACUUUGGGGAUUUUAUAUAGAGAUAAUUGGCAGCUGCAUUUGGGAGGCUGGGAACAAAAACAUUGGCAGAAGGUUGGAGAAAUUGAAAGAAAAUUGCAGCUGCCUUGAUAUAUUCCACACGUGGACUUGGACUCCAAAAGAAAAAAAGAGGGCUGCUUUCUGCUGUAAUAUAUACACACACACGCAUAUUGGCAGCCGGGGGGAACUGGGAGGAAAAUAAACUACAAAUUGGUGGUUGCUUUUAAGGAGAAAUUGAGAGAUAACUAUCGCUGGCUGGGAGAAAAGAAACAGUUGGAAUUUCACUUCUUUUGGAGUCAACAAAACUGGCAGCUUGGGGGAGAAAAGAAGGAAAAAUUUGGGCGGCGGCUUGUAGUAAGAAAUUGAGUAACAUUUGGGCAUUGUUUUGGUAGUCAACUAUUGUGGCUGGACUUAAUAUAUACAGCAAUUAGAGAAGCCGAAAGUGGAGCAGAAACGUGGAAGCAGCUGCAGGUUUUGUUGCAUGGAAUUACACACGCACAGAGGCUAAGAAACAUUGAGCUCCCGUCAAGUUUUGGUGAUUUCCUUUCACUUUUAUUUAUUUAAUCCCAACAUUAUGAUGGGCUAAAUAUUUUCAUGUAUUUGAUGGAUGACAAAAUUGUUUAAUUCUUAGUUUUAAUUCGAGACCUAUAUUUUUAUGUUAAUUA